RNAcentral lists this ribosomal RNA (989 nucleotides) under Ophiocordyceps sobolifera. Its description in RNAcentral is "partial small subunit ribosomal RNA". It matches the Rfam family "Eukaryotic small subunit ribosomal RNA", at positions 71 to 735 of the family's 1831-position model. The record is from RNAcentral. Lineage: Eukaryota; Fungi; Ascomycota; Sordariomycetes; Hypocreales; Ophiocordycipitaceae.
GCAUUAUACGGCGAACUGCGAAUGGCUCAUUAUAUAAGUUAUCGUUUAUUUGAUAGCACCUUACUACUUGGAUAACCGUGGUAAUUCUAGAGCUAAUACAUGCUGAAAAUCCCGACUUCGGAAGGGAUGUAUUUAUUAGAUUAAAAACCAAUGCCCUCUGGGCUCCCUGGUGAUUCAUGAUAACUGCUCGAAUCGCAUGGCCUUGCGCCGGCGAUGGCUCAUUCAAAUUUCUUCCCUAUCAACUUUCGAUGUUUGGGUAGUGGCCAAACAUGGUGGCAACGGGUAACGGAGGGUUAGGGCUCGGCCCCGGAGAAGGAGCCUGAGAAACGGCUACUACAUCCAAGGAAGGCAGCAGGCGCGCAAAUUACCCAAUCCCGACACGGGGAGGUAGUGACAAUAAAUACUGAUACAGGGCUCUUUUGGGUCUUGUAAUUGGAAUGAGUACAAUUUAAAUCCCUUAACGAGGAACAAUUGGAGGGCAAGUCUGGUGAACGUUGCUGGCGCCAGAGAGAGCCGCCCCUCCGUAAACGAAGCGGCUAGUCGAGUGCUCGUGGCAGUAACGGGUGAGCACCGGCGAGACAACCUGGGUCGGGGGAGGCUAAGGGCCCCGGGCCUAUGCUAAUCCCGAGCAGAGCCGAUUUCCUACGGCCUGUGUAGAGCGCGCUAAGGUGUCGGUCCCGGGGCUCCCGCCAGCGGGAGUCCCCCGGGGCUUGAGGUACGUGCCAAUCCCCUGCGAAAGCAGGGCCCUGCGGAUUAGCACCCGUUAUGCGAAGCCGCAGGGGGCCUCCGAGCGAGGCAGUGAUCAUAUUGCUGUAAAUGGCCAGCAGCCGCGGUAAUUCCAGCUCCAAUAGCGUAUAUUAAAGUUGUUGUGGUUAAAAAGCUCGUAGUUGAACCUUGGGCCUGGCUGGCCGGUCCGCCUCACCGCGUGCACUGGUCCGGCCGGGCCUUUCCCCCUGUGGAACCCCAUGCCCUUCACUGGCCUUGGCGGG